This 580-nucleotide long non-coding RNA is filed under the name Pongo abelii (Sumatran orangutan). RNAcentral's name for it is "lincRNA". The record is from RNAcentral. Lineage: Eukaryota; Metazoa; Chordata; Mammalia; Primates; Hominidae.
CUUACCCUGUAGGAAUUCUAGUGACUAUGUUGCCACCAUCUUGGAGCUCCAUGCCCUCAUAGUAUAGUGGCACCAGCAGAUCUGCCUGUGCAUGGACUUCCUGUACUACCUCACUCCUGAGGGGAGAUGCUUCUGCAGGGCCUAUGAACUGGUGCACAACUUUAGCCACCAUCGUCCUGGAGCAGCGCUACACCCUCACUAGCCAGGGUGUCGACAGCCUCAAGGCCAAGGCCACAUUCAAGACUUUGGACUUCACUGAUGCACUUGUGCCGAGCAAGCUGUUUUGCAGAUCCUGGUCAGAGUAAAACAUUCCAUGGGAACUCGGGCUGUGAGAAGCAUCCUAACCACCUGACUGCAGAAACAUCCUUAUCACAUCCUGCUGGGCAAAGGCCCAACAGCCUGACUUCAGGAACAUCCUUAUCAUCUUCUACUGGGCAGCAAGCUAUACUGUCCAGAGCGCUCCCUCCCAGCCCCAUGAUUACCCCAGCCUGUGAGCGGCAGUGGGUGCUGACACUAAGCUGGUUUCCCCCUCCGCAGGGUUUUGCUAGUAAUAAACCUGUGUUGCUGUUGAAGCGGCCAA